CCUACGGGAGGCAGCAGUGAGGAAUAUUGGUCAAUGGACGAGAGUCUGAACCAGCCAAGUAGCGUGAAGGAUGACUGCCCUAUGGGUUGUAAACUUCUUUUAUAUGGGAAUAAAACAGGGUAUGCAUACCCUCUUGUAUGUACCAUAUGAACAAGGAUCGGCUAACUCCGUGCCAGCAGCCGCGGUAAUACGGAGGAUCCGAGCGUUAUCCGGAAUUAUUGGGUUUAAAGGGAGCGUAGGUGGAUUGUUAAGUCAGUUGUGAAAGUUUGCGGCUCAACCGUAAAAUUGCAGUUGAAACUGGCAGUCUUGAGUACAGUAGAGGUGGGCGGAAUUCGUGGUGUAGCGGUGAAAUGCGUAGAUAUCACGAAGAACUCCGAUUGCGAAGGCAGCUCACUGGACUGCAACUGACACUGAUGCUCGAAAGUGUGGGUAGCAAACAGGAUUAGAUACCCGUGUAGUC
RNAcentral lists this ribosomal RNA (460 nucleotides) under uncultured bacterium. Its description in RNAcentral is "partial 16S ribosomal RNA". It matches the Rfam family "Bacterial small subunit ribosomal RNA", at positions 338 to 795 of the family's 1533-position model. The record is from RNAcentral.